Molecule: ribosomal RNA, 495 nt
Filed under: Rhacophorus poecilonotus
Lineage: Eukaryota; Metazoa; Chordata; Amphibia; Anura; Rhacophoridae
Description: partial 16S ribosomal RNA
Rfam family: Bacterial large subunit ribosomal RNA
Source: RNAcentral
AGCCUGCCCAGUGAUAAAAUUCAACGGCCGCGGUAUCCUAACCGCGCGAAGGUAGCAUAAUCACUUGUUCUUUAAAUAGGGACUAGUAUCAAUGGCACCACGAGGGUUGCACUGUCUCCUCUCUCCAAUCAGUGAAACUGAUCUCCCCGUGAAGAAGCGGGGAUAAAAUAAUAAGACGAGAAGACCCCAUGGAGCUUUAAACCUCACAGCAACUCUGAUACAUAAUUCAUUAUAGCCAACAGAACUAUGCAGGCCGGUUUUAGGUUGGGGCGACCGCGGAGUAAAAAUUAACCUCCACUACGAAAAGAACUAAACCUUUAUCUAAGAGCCACUCCUCUAAGAAUUAGUAAACUAACGAAAAAUGACCCGAUUAUCGAUCAACGGACCAAGUUACCCUGGGGAUAACAGCGCAAUCUACUUCAAGAGCCCAUAUCGACAAGUAGGCUUACGACCUCGAUGUUGGAUCAGGGUAUCCCAGUGGUGCAGCCGCUACUA